AUACGGAGGGGGUUAGCGUUGUUCGGAAUUACUGGGCGUAAAGCGCACGUAGGCGGAUUGGAAAGUUGGGGGUGAAAUCCCAGGGCUCAACCCUGGAACUGCCUCCAAAACUAACAGUCUAGAGUUCGAGAGAGGUGAGUGGAAUUCCAAGUGUAGAGGUGAAAUUCGUAGAUAUUUGGAGGAACACCAGUGGCGAAGGCGGCGCACUGGCUCGAUACUGACGCUGAGGUGCGAAAGCGUGGGGAGCAAACAGGAUUAGAAACCCCAGUAGUCC
This 274-nucleotide ribosomal RNA is filed under the name uncultured bacterium. RNAcentral describes it as "partial 16S ribosomal RNA". It matches the Rfam family "Bacterial small subunit ribosomal RNA", at positions 523 to 796 of the family's 1533-position model. The record is from RNAcentral.